GAUGAACGCUGGCGGCGUGCCUAAUACAUGCAAGUCGAGCGAACAGAUGAGGAGCUUGCUCCUCUGACGUUAGCGGCGGACGGGUGAGUAACACGUGGAUAACCUACCUAUAAGACUGGGAUAACUUCGGGAAACCGGAGCUAAUACCGGAUAAUAUAUUGAACCGCAUGGUUCUAUAGUGAAAGACGGUUUUGCUGUCACUUAUAGAUGGAUCCGCGCCGCAUUAGCUAGUUGGUAAGGUAACGGCUUACCAAGGCAACGAUGCGUAGCCGAUCUGAGAGGGUGAUCAGCCACACUGGAACUGAGACACGGUCCAGACUCCUACGGGAGGCAGCAGUAGGGAAUCUUCCGCAAUGGGCGAAAGCCUGACGGAGCAACGCCGCGUGAGUGAUGAAGGUCUUCGGAUCGUAAAACUCUGUUAUUAGGGAAGAACAAAUGUGUAAGUAACUAUGCACGUCUUGACGGUACCUAAUCAGAAAGCCACGGCUAACUACGUG
This 497-nucleotide ribosomal RNA is filed under the name uncultured bacterium. RNAcentral's name for it is "partial 16S ribosomal RNA". It matches the Rfam family "Bacterial small subunit ribosomal RNA", at positions 28 to 507 of the family's 1533-position model. The record is from RNAcentral.